ACAGAGGAAAGGGCUCCAUGGAUUUGCUGCCUUCGGAAGGGAAGUGAACACCCCGGUGGGGGGCAAAGCUCAGACAGGCAACACAUGGGAGCAAAGGAACAACACAUCAAGGAAGCUGAAAAGCAACACUAAGGAAUAGUUUGGGUAUAUUUUACUCUUCCUUAAGACACAAGGAAGGGUGGAUGUAACCGUGAAAGAAGACGUGAGGACACUAAACUGCUCAAGUGAAAAACAAGCAGCAAACCCAGUAUCACUCUCAGACCAGCACUAAACCAAACCCAAGGAAAAUAUAUUAAAAACUAAGACUAUGCUGUGUCCCUGCUCUGCUGCUGUGUUUGCUGCCGUGCUCAGGUGUUAAAUCAGUUGCCUGGGAAACGUCAGAACAGCGCAGGAGAUGGACAAAACAACAAAACCUUGAACAGAGGGGGCUGACACCGGGAGAAAAAUGAGUUUGCUACUCAGAAAUGUGCAGGGAUUACAAUGCAGAGAACUUGCCACACUGGCUGCCUCUCUCCUCUCUCCCAGGUUCGAGUGUGCAGCUGCUGUCAAUUUGAGUGGCUCCAACUGAAAUAAUGGGAAUCUGCUUCCAUCGGCCCGAGGACACAAAUCCCAAGGAGCAGCAGCACUCAUAAAUACUCCACGAGGUAUUAACAUUGCUCCUGUUCAAAUCCACAAGGACUCCCAGCUCCCGCCGGAACCAACGGGAAACACCUGUUAGUAACAGAAGAAACUGGCCACUGCUGGAAAGCUCUGAAAAUAUGGAUCCACUGAGCUACAUUCACUCAGAAAACUGUUCCAGUGUUGUCCUUCUUUCCCCUCACAACAUUUUAAAUUUGGAUUAACCAACUAAUCUAUGAUUAACAAACUCUACUUCCUGAGAGACCCCCGGUCGUUAUCAUUGCUCAGUGUUUUGGACUGCAAGAUCCUCAACCUUCAAAAGUGCUUAACUAAAUCAUGACAUGCAUCACUUGCUAUCUGACACUUUUCCACACUACCUUCUUAAUAAGGCUUAGGCAUUUUGGAAGGAUUCCCACAAAGGAUAAGAGGGUAUCCAACCUCCAAACCAUACAAUCUUCAGAAAGACUCCCAGUCAGAGUGGAAAACGCCAGCACAUAUUUUAAUAGUCUCAAUAGGUGGUUUUUCUGAAAUACAGAAUAUGAGGAAUGUCCCCUCAAAUGUUUUGUUGCAUAUAUUAUUUAGAAAUUCCUGUUGUGUGAGUCUCUAUUUGCAUUUAUUCCAAAAUAUCCCUUUUGCAUUCUACAAUAUGAUCACACAGACACUAAAGGGAACACUUCCAGGAUAUUUUUAAAGGCCUGAGUACAGAUUAAUUUUUUAAUACUGGAAAUUGAAAGCAUUCUGCAUUCCCUGCUGUAAUACAAGCAGCAUCUACAGUAAUACCGUCCCAUUUGCAUCCCAGCACCCUGUAAGGGCUAAGGAGAAAUGUAUUUUGAUAAAAAUUCACUUUUCUGAAGAAUAUAAUCUCUCAAAUGAUGCCUGAUGGGACACUGUGCAAAAUGAGCCAGUGCUGAUUCAUCCAAGCUGAGGACGGGACCUACUCAGGGAGCACUUCCUGUGCUGCUGGCUCUAUGGAUCUCAGUCUCCCAGCAGGAAUGAUGUGGUAGGACUGGAAGGGAACAGAGCCUUGGGUCUUGCCAGACCUUUCUGAGCUCAACAGCCAGCCAAAAACAGCUGCUGGUGGUAUGACAUGCUCAGAGCAGGCAUCACCCAGACUUCCUUCCUUUUCAUGUGGUGCUUUCCAGCUUGGAAACUGCAAAGACACUGUUUUGGAGGCUUUGGAGGUGAAGAAGGUUUCAAGCAAGUGCUGAAUGUAGAUAACAAGCAGCAACAGUCAGGACUGAGGAAGUGCUGAGAACAGAAAAGCUGGAGGAUGGCAGAGGAGAGGUCACAGCAGCAAUAAAGAAGAGAACAUGCCCCUCAGGGGACAUUUUCCUAAAAUCAACUGAAAGUACUGCACUGUAAGCAGGGAAGCAGAUGCUGAAGGUGAAUGGGAUAGUCCCACAUUGGCUACCUGUGCUCAAUGGAUAGCUCUGCCACCUACUGCUGGUAUUAUUUUUUCUUUCAGCCAAAAUAUGCAUUAAAGGUUUGUGACAGCAGCAGUGACCUGAGGUGAGGCUGAUGAGGCACCAGAAAAAAGCAGAGUUGCACUUUUAAGGGUUAAUAGGAAUAAAGAUAUAAAUAUGAUACCAGUGAGAAAAAAGAUGAGAGACAGCAAUAAAAAGUUUGCAGAAGAUGACAUUUCUUUAAGUUAGCCCAGGUUCACUAUAAAUCACUUCUUACUUAACAGAUUUUUACCUUUGUUCUUGAAAAUUACAUUUCCCUAAGAAAAAGAAAGCAGUAACACUCCUAAAUAAAUAAUCAGGACUUGAUGUACUGCCAAGGGUUUCUACUAAGGGCUAGGAAAAUGAUCAGCGUAAUUAAAAAUAUAUUCAGAGUGUGCACAUGUUUCUUUUUAUGUUAUAAUGUUGCUUCUUUGUGCAUGCUUUUUCUGGGUUAAAAAAAACCUAACAAAGGGAGAGAUAAAUGGGAGGGCAUUAAGCACAGUGAUCAUAAAGUAUUGCCAGACUGAAUGGUUUUCUUAUUGUCCUAAUAAUUAUUACAUGACUAGUUGCUACUUCACGGCUUCGGUGAGGGCAAAGGUGCUUCCCCCUUCCAAAGCCACGAGCACUUGAGCAGAUCCUUCAAAACUCUCCUUGGGAAAAAGAACAGUCUGCCACCAUUGAUUUUCUCAAUUUUACUUUCCUGUUGGAAGAGAGCAAAUGGGAAUGUGAUGGCUGUACCCUCGCCUAGCCUCCCAGCAAAAUCUGAGGCUGUCGGGUUUUGUAAUAAAUGGAUAAAUAUCAAGUAAAUAUUAAAUCAUUAAUCCCAUUGUUGGCCAGCUGCCACACAUCUAUUGAACAUAAUGAAUCCACUAAAAGGGAAGGGCUUGUGUUUUGGGCCUGUAAAUGUGAAAAUGGACACUCUAAGAAAGAACUGGGAAGAGCUUCAAACUUCUUUUGCACUGUUCCCCGAGUUUACUCUGAUUUACUCCCCUCAGUUUACUAUGCCAGGAAUAUUAUGAUAAAUUAAAAGACUGUAUUUCCAAAUGUAGCUUCUGAAGCUACUUAGAAAUGAAUGCAGGCAGAGAAACCCGUAGAUGCAAUCUGAGAUGAUUUGCAGACUUUCACAUACAAGUCAAAGCAAAUGUAGCAAGUGUCAAGGUAAAUAAUUAAACAUGUGAGGUCACUCGCAGUGUAGUUAAAAAAAUCCAGAAUAGGUUGGACUAAUCAGGAAUUCCCAUCCUUAACUCUUUGGUUUUUGGCUUCUGUGCCUCUAGACCUUUGGAUCACACCUCUGUCCUGACCAACCCUGACAAACAUCUGUGGUAUGGCUAUAAAUUCAUGCUGGUAGAGGAGAGAGCAGUAUUUUAUCUCUUCAGAUCAACUUUAAACUGCACUGUCUUUAAACCUCCCCGUGGGCCUGUGCUUCUCACAUUUGUAAAACAGCUUUACUGUUGUCUCCCAGAAAAUCUGUAUAAAGCCGCAGCAUUUGGCUUAUGUGGGUCCUAAUCCUCACUGACAGAACACAAAGUCCACACUGGAGGUAAGAGGCCUGCAAAAUAUCACAGUUAAAAAUUGCUUUUGCUUUGGCCAUGUCUGCACUCUUCCAAGGAGCAUAAAUUUCUGCAUAUUGGAAUCAUAACUUAAAAAGGGGCCACACUGAUUUUUGCUUCUUUUAAUUCAGGGAAACGAAAUAGCUGUCAAAGAAAAUACUUAUGUGACGAGUUCUAGCACAAAACACAUUUUAGAGCCAAGAUAUAAACCUUUGAAAAAUGGCACCUAAUGGAAACAAUGACAGUUCAUUCACUUUAUGAAGGCACGAGGAGGUGCCGUACAAAGUGUUAUAACAAACAUAAACCAGAAGAAAAUAACUCCCCCGAGGUCUGUUUAAACUGGGCCUCACCACUGCAGGGGUUUGUUUAUGUUCUGGCAUACUGGCAUUCAGAAGAACUUGGUUGGUUAAAGCCAGUCUGUCAAUAACAUUAAAAAACCUAUAUUGUGCAGAAGUCACAUUUUUAGCACUUAGUGCAGCAUUACUUUUUUUAUUUGACAUAAUGCUGAGUCUCUGUCAAACAUGACAAAAUAAACAUCAAAUCAAACAGGAGAGACAGAAGUCCCUGUGCACAUCUGCUUGUCAAAAAACACUUGUUCCUAUCUAAACUAAAAUAGUAAAUUUACAAUUAUUUUCUCACAAGUUAACAGUAUCUUAGACUAGAAAACGAGUGCCAAAAGUUGAAUUCCUAAACUGUCUUUUUUUCUGAAUCUUUUAAAGUAUUGUUGACAAUUUGCUGUGCAAACAAUACAGUUCAGACUGUAACUCAAAUUACCAGCAGCUUCUGGGUGCUCAGCCUUUUAAAAAACAUGACAACACCUAAAAAUUUCAGCUCAGAUAUGAGAUACAGUCAGGGAGCAGAAUUCCACCCCCUGCAUAUACGGACUGCCAGAAAGUUAUGUGCCAUGUUGGAACCUCCCUAAUCUCUGAAUCCAAGCAAAUCUCAUGGAGCUUAACAAACUGUCAGAUUUAAUGUUUAGGGGCAAACUUAUUAGCUACAGAGAUGUUUUCCAUAUUAUGCUCUGCACACUUGUUCAGCUGUCAUAAAAACUACAUCAUUCAUUCUCCUCCCCAAAUACAGACCUUAAUCUGGAACCCUAUCUAACCUGAGGGAAAAUUUCUGGCCAGACUUUAUCUGAGCAACACAACUGUUGUUCACUUUUUAAUGGAAGUAUAUUUGAUGCAGUUGUGUGUAUUUGAUGCAGUUGUGUAGAGGCCAGAACAACAACCAAGAGCCACUCUUGCUUCCCUGAAGGCUAAACUCCAUCAUCACUUCCUGCUGGUGCUUUUUGUGUAUUUUAUGGUACCACUGAAAAUAUGCUAAGAUUUUCUGUAAGAUAAAGAAAUCAGAUCUGUCCAACACUGUACCUGUGAGGUAGGUGUUGUGUGAGGAAUUGAUGAAAUAGUGUGACAGUGGUUGAGACAUAUCUUCAUUUAAAUCCAGUUUCUCAGGUGGAACGACGCCGUUUUCUUCUCCACUCAGGUAUCGCAUGAAUCCAUCCACUGAUAUCUGUCCUGAGAGAAACACAGAUCCAGGGAAAGCACCAGUUAAUUUCCAGUACAGCUUUUGUGAUGCACAGAUGUUAAGGUUCAUAUACACUUACACAAAGGUACCUGUGAAAGACCAUAUAAUCAUCAGACCAGCCUUCACCCAGUUAUCCAUAUAUUCUUGUUACUACCACCUCAUUUUCAGCCACAUAACUCACACCCCUUUAGCUGUACCAAAGAUAAAUCAUUUCACAAUCAGUGCCUCUGAUAAGGGAAUCAGAGCUACAGAAGGCUGUAGGAACAGAGAAAAUAAAUCUAAGCCUAUCAAGGAAAAGAGUCUUCCGGGGACCAAACAAAGCACACUUUCCAGAGGAAACAGAGAAACCUGCUGAGAGCCAUGGACACAGGUAACUUCGACCUCUCCUGAGUUUGGUUCAGUGUGUGUAUAUGAAUGCAACAGAACUGCAAAGCAAAGCAAAACAAACUAAAUGAAGCACCUUUCAAGUGGGAACUGAGCUUUGCUUUGUAAUUUUUAUAUUUGUCUUCUCGUUCAUCUCUCAGUGGAGUGCCAGCAUAAAUGAUCAUUUCAUAUGCUGCUGGCAAAUUACAAAGCUGAGUCCUAUCCUCAGCUUAAAUAUCACCACUGAUCUCAGUGGAGCUGUGCUGAUUACAUCAGGAUGAAUUCUGCUGCCAAGCCUUCUGCAUAAAGUUGACUUUAGGGUUUCAAUUUGUACAUUUAGACUCAACAACAACAACAAAAAAAAUCCAGUAGUUUACAUUUGAAGAUUAAUGCUUCACUGAACAAAUUAGAGACAGUUUUUCUUGCCUGGUAUUUUUUGUUAUUUUGUCUACAUUUCAUCUGUUGAUUUACUCAACCAUAGAGCUUUACUCAAUUCAGCUCUACAGUAAAACAGAUCUGCUGUAUCUCUGAAGAACCUUAAAGCAUCUAUGUGCUUGGUGACUCUCAACAAGGAGAAUUUCUUACCCCUUGCCCCCAACCCAAAAUGUUCUGCAUAGUGUGCCUGUUAAAAAACCCCCUCAGUCAUCUGACUGUGGCAUUGAAAAACAGAAGACUUCGGUUCUGCUCCUGACUCUGCUGCUCUCUCUUUUUAUUCUAAAACAUACAAGCUUACACAUACUUUUCUAGCAGAUGAACAAGUAACAGGCAACCCUGCAUAAUUUAUUUCUUUUUAAAGCUUGUAACCACAUGAUGCAAAUAUAGCAUGUAAAGCAUUUACUUAAAAUCUGUGCUUAGAUCUAAGGACUUGGCUCUUGAUCAGAGAGGAGAAGAUGUAACAACCUUAAAGUGCAGAUCCUCAUUUUCAUAACAACCCAAGACUGGUGGCACUAAACAAACUUAUAUGACAAGAACUGUAGUGACUAUACAGAGCAAUGCAAUUAUCAUUCAUUCUUAUAACAACAAUUGCUGGAAAGAAAACCAUCGGGUCCAUCCACUAUUUUAAGGCUGUAAUCUGAGUGCAAUCUUGUCAGGCUCCACAGCUGCUUUGCUAAAGAGUGACUAAUCAUCUGCAGACAGAGGCCCACGUACUUUCCUCUUCACAAAAAAAUUCUGAGACAGUGAAAAUUGGGGAAAAAACCUGCCACUGAGGUUUUUCCCAAAACUAAAGAUUCAGGAGCAACUUUUCUGCUGCAUGAACUUACCAGAGGAACAUUAAGAAUGCCAACAGUAUCAGGUGCUAUCAUGGAGUUAAGCUUAACCUAAAAUCCACCUAAGAACUCUGCACUAAGUUCACUGGGACAUAGACAGGGUCUGUGGUGUGCACAAGCAAUGUCAUACAGGGAAAACCAGCUCAGAUCCAAAAGGGACUGCUGCUACAUGGGGAACCAGCAAAGCCAUGUUACAUGACAGUGAGCUGCAGCUCCUGAUGUUUGAGAUAGCUCAUCCAGACUCAUGUUUGGUACCUCUGCGUUGCCCUUUCAGCCAGACUAGGAGGGUUUUCCUGUCAUUCCUCCUCUAGGCUAAAAUGAAAUGUAGUAGUUUUCAAGCACACUAUUCAGAAAAAAAGGCUUCCAUUUUGUUAUGUGGAUAGUCAGGUCGAUUCAUACAGACAUGGUUUUCAAGGUUCUCAAAGUGAUCUCUGUGUUUAAUCCUCAGAGUGUACCUGACAAACAGGGUCCUUGCAGUCCUUGUUUUUCAGAUGGAGACCUGAAGCUGGGGAUAAACUAACAGAGUGGACAACAGCCCAUGGAAAACCUGUGGGUUAAGCUGGGAGUUGAACUGCACAAUCUCUUGAAGCCUGUCUGGGUGAACUUGAGCACCUCUGCAAUUAACAGUAAGCAAAGCCCGGGCCUGCACUUCCUCCCUUCUCUCUAUUUUGUGGUUCAUUCUGCUUCUUUGCUUCCUUCCACACUGCAGUAAGGCAAGGUCUGCAGAGUGGUCCUUCUGUGCACUGCCACCAGUAUUAGCAUAAAUCACAGCAAGCAUUAUUCACACGUAUAAUUAGAUAGUUUCUGAGUUACACAGUUAUCUGAGCUUACGGCUGGAGAACGCUAUUUUCCCCAUCAUAAUUAAGCAGUCAGCAUUUCAGAAAGGGAAGCAAUUUGCAAGUUCAAUUACAACCAAUAUUGCACCGGCGAGAGUUUCUCUGCGGAACAAAAGAUGGCAGAUGUCAAAGGGGCUUUGUAUCCUGGAAAUUAAAGAGUGCAUUGUUUGUGACCGAUGUCAAUGAUAUUCUGAAGCCAACUGCAGUGAGGACGACCCUCGGUGGACACUCAAGCAAAACAAAACAGCCUCAGUUUAUUGUUUAUGAGAUGUAGAAUAUUCCCCUUCCUGGGAGAUGGUGCUCACAAGAUUACCAUGAAACAGGAAUUCCAGCCAGCCAGCUGAAAUGGUUGACAGGAUAGCCUUUAUUUUGAGAAUAUAUUCCUCAGAGGCUCCUCUUGAAGACUUACUGUCUCUUCAUCAUCCUCUUUGAGCGUACGCAGAGAACCCAGGACACUUCUCUCAUCAGGGCCCGUGACAGCCCUUGGGCAGGACCAGGGCACACUGUGCAUUCCCUGUGCCAGCACAGGCACAGAUAACAGCCCCCUGCAAAACUCUUCUCGUGCACUUUCCAGGGCUGGCAAAAGCACAGGCUGCUUUUGACACAGCAAUCCUUCUUCUGCUGCUUAAUGAGACAUAGGUAACUUGACAGGAUGCUGUUUUCCCAGUCCCCUUAGAGCGCCGGCAUGACCAGCAUGUUGUUCUGGAUGUGGAAACGCCUUUGUGUCCCUGGGAGCUUGCCAGCUCAUCAACUGGAGGACAUAAACAAACCCCUGCUCACUCAGCACCGGCAGCACUGUGCCAAGCACAAGAUAAAAGACAUGGGGGUUCAAAGGAGGGCCGAGCUUCCAAAAGAACUUUCUCCACCAGCUCAGUGCCCUCUGCAGAGGCCCAGGAUAAAGACCAAAACCCCAGCAGUGCAGCAGUCUGGGGGAAAUAUAAAAGUGCAGCUAACCCUGCAAACCUCUCAACCCAACUGCUGGAUCUAAACUUCACCCCCUUGUUUUGUCAGGUACGCUGGAUGUGCAGCUACUCCAUUUUCCCUGCAGUCUGCCCAAUCUGCUCCCAGGAAGCCUUGCAGUCCUUUGGGCAGGCUUGGGACAGAAAACAAGAGAGGCACAACUGACAGCAGAAAAGACCACUUAUCUGCACACUUUUCUUUGCACUUUAGUCUUGCAACUUUAACAUCGAAGAGCCUUUGCUCGUCCCUUAAAAUUUGUCAAUGUUUUGUACGACAAUUAAAAUGUGCAUUUGCUUGUAGGCUGUCAACAGGUUGGGCCACGUGGAUCUUAAACAUUUCUUUCCAUGUAUUUGCAAACUCCAUAGCGCUUUGCAUUUGUUUACACCCAUGCUGUUAUCCACUCAGAAUGUAACUGGAAAGUAUAACUGUGCCAAGAGAUGCUAAUAAAGUAAAACAGAAAACAAACAGAAAAGGAAGAGAGACAAUGAAUCGGUGCCUCCCAUCUCCCAGUCAGAGACACAGAAUUACAACAGUAUUUUGUCUGACAGCGAAUUCAGGUCUAUUCCAAUGCAAUCUGCAGCAUGAAUCACAUUUGCUGUGAUCCCACACAACCGAGCAGUCCUCUCAAGCUGAAGAUUAGAAUCCUAUAAGUAAAGCAGACAGUUGAUAACUCUACCAGAGAUCUGUACAACGUGUCCCAGUGGGAAUUCUAUCUCACAAACCAGCACUGCAAUUUCCAGCUCAUUAGGUAUUAAAACUUCAUGCCCAGCGUUGAGUAGGAUGCACAUACCCCUGGUGUGUCUCUUGACUCUGGGCACACAUUAGCUGCUCUCUGCUCUGCAGCUCUGUGAGCCAGCAGAGAAGCUCACAGGGACGAAUUUACAUAAAAUCCACUCUGUGUGGGACACGAUGUGCCGGAGCCACUCUGAUGACGGUCGCAGCAUUUGCAUCCGAGCAAUUUGGGAAGUGAUGCUGAAACCUGUUUGGCUUUCCAGACACACAUGCUAUUACUGUAUUGCCACGGUGUAACUGGAAUUUCUGUCUGUAUUCAGUUUUGCAAACUAGGGCAGGACAGGAGUGUCCUGUUGAAUUGUCCAAGUGACAUCCUCCUAAUGGCAAAGUCAUCACAAGGAGAGAAUAUGGUACAACCUCAGCCCAGACUGAAAACGCCUCAACCCUGCAACUGAGAUGCUGGACUUUACCCCAGGAAUGUCAGUGCUGCUCUGUUCUAGAAAAAACACCGAGGAGGUAAAAACUGUCAGGCCUCAGAUCUGGAUCUGCAGAUCUAUCAAAAUAUCUACAUACCAACCAUCACUUACACACCCCAUUCAGAAAUGGGCAGUAACUCCUCCAUUUGAGCAGUUUUCUCAACGAUCAGUAAAGGCAAAAAUUCAUACUAGUCAGACAGUCUUAUCAAAUUAAUAAGCAGAGGAAGGGCAAUACAUCUGAAUUGCUGUAUCUGAAUAUUAGUGAAGCAUUUAAUGAAGUUUUCUAAAUUCAAAUUUUUUCUUAUUGGAAAAACUAAUCUGUAAAAAGCACAGAUAGAAAUAAACUGAGGUCGGACUAGAAGAUUCAGGGCUUCUUUGAAUUUGGAAGCUUAAGUGCAUAAAAAACCCAGACGCUGACACACUGAUCAGCAGUAGGUCUGGCUUCAUAAAGUCUUUAAUAAAGUGAAAAAGUAGAAUCAACCACACAGGGUUUAAAGAACAGACAGUUCUCUGGUAGCUGUUAGCAAAACAAGAGGGUUAAAGCUGUAAUGAACCAGGUAAAUGGGACACACAUCAAAUGAGAACACACAUAUAAUAAUUCAAGCUACAUAACUAAUCACUGGAGCAAAGAAAAAUCUAAAAUACAGAUUUGAGCUGGGAAGAAGAUGCCUACAAAUCUAUCACCCUGAAAAGCAGACGAGAUGCAGAGAACAGAAAUGCCUCUGUAUAUGAAGCUUCACCGAAAAAGGUGAUUAAAAAAAAAAAGUAAUUGAUUGGAAGGACAUUUUAUUAUCAAGACAUUGAUGGAAGAGAUCAAAUAUAUCAACACUCGUACCCAUAACUAAAUCUAACUGUACAAUCAAUCCUACAAAUGGCCAGAAUUUAUGAUUGAAUUAAUUAAUUACCAACAACAUCAAGGGUCUUAAUGGCACCACUGACACUGCAUCCAGUCUCAUGAGUAGUUUUUGACUUCUUAUUAUCAGAAACAAGUUUCUAUAUAGAAGGUUAUUUAGAGAACUGUUAUGAAUACCUCACAGUAUAUGCCAAAACAAGAAAAAUCAAAGCUGAAGUGGCAACGACAUAUUUGUCAAGGGGUGUUUUAAGCAUAAACAACAAGGAUGAGGGAGAACAGUCCCAGUGGCCGAAGGCAGAAGCAGGUAACGAGAUCAGAGCAAGCCACGCAAAACUUGGGGGGAGUGUCUGGAAAAGCUUGGCAGUGCUACGACUAACUGUGCUAGGAAACAGUCUUGCAGCGGGUUUAUUAGUUGUCUCAUUGCUUGAAUCCUCUAAAAAUCAAAGCAGGACAAUAUCCUGUUGUGUUCAAAUCUCAUUUCCGUUCUCCAAACUUAAAGGAAAACACAACGGAUCCAAUUCUGCCCUCAGUUAUAAUUGCUCAGAUACCUUCUGUAAUUACACAGUUACCUGGCCACAGACCAAAACAAGCUGUCUUGGGUAACAUGUUCUUGAAAAAGAAAUGGAAAACUCAGUAAGAAAGGACUAGAACAAGAUUCCUUGCUCUACUCUUGAACGGGUAUAUUGUAACAAAACACAGGGAAAUCUGAUUAUAAACAGGGAAUGGUAACUCCAAUCAAGACCAGAAGUAAAUGCUCACUUAAUGACAAGCAGUCAGUGAGGGAAAACACGGGAAGGUAAACAUGUUGUGCUUUAAGCAGCCUACAUAAAAGAGCUUGCUCAGUAUCAGUUAAUCCAUGUGGAAAUCUCACACGCCCAAGGACACCGAGAUCCAGAAUAUUUUGCAGAGGAAGGAGCAUCAGGCAAGCAAAGCAGAGCUCAGUAUGUCUGAAGCAGGAAUGCUUGCCAUUCUAAUGAAGCUAUCGCAGCCACUUUAGCACCUGCACAAGUGCACAGAGAAAACUAACAGUGGAUACAAUUUUUUUUUGGCAAGAAAAUGUCUGCAGAUGGAAAACCACUUUUCUGAACCAUUAGAAGAGGUACUGCAGCCCAAGACACUUAGUUCACUCCAGGGAGGAAAUAUUUCCUAAAAGCUUCCAGGCAAGCCACAGCAAAUAGCAAACCUCAUACUCCAAUCAGAACUAAAACUUCGGGAGCAUUCCAAGGACACUGCCAUCUCCAAAGGGAAAGGAGGAAGUGUCACCUGAGAAGAAACACAUGUUUCCAAAUCUCACUUGUGCCUGUAGGCAUGAGCCAUCCGGUUUAACAAGAUCUUAAAGCCACUGUGCAAUGUUGAGCACGCUCUUUAUUCACUUACUUUAUUAGAACUCACAGGCUUUUUCAUCCCUUUUCAAACUCCCAAGAAAGAAGGGCUCUAACCCACAGGGGCUACAGCCCAUGAAAUGGAUGUAUUUUUCCUCUGGUAGUGCUAGAAAACAGCAAAACACACACCUAAGCAGGGAACAUUUUAAACACUCAAUAUUUUCUCCUCUUUUAAAAUUUAUAUGUUGGAAACACAUUUAUUUUGAAUGAAUAUUGAUCCUUUAAAUGUCUGCAGCAGCUUUGAAAACCUCUGCUGUUACAAAGCAUGGUCACAGUUCAGAGAUUCUGGUAAGCAGAGGUUUUGUGUUAAGGAAAACAAGUCUUGGAACAGUUUCUAAAACUUUAGCAGACAGAUACAUAUAAAUUUGAAUAAUCAGUAAUUGUUAAGGAGUGGGGAAAUCCCCCACCCUGGUACCAAUCUCUCCUAAGUCUCAAGAGUGAAGGAGGGUGAACAACUUCACCUCAGGGUUGGUCUGUGAAGAACUGUUCCACCUGAAGCCAGCCAGAGAACCACACUGGACUGCAGCUCACUCCUUGGCAGGCCUUUUCUGCUUUGCCUUUUUUGUUCCCUUUCCAAAUUCGGUUUUGCUUAAAAGGGCUGGCCUGCUCUGUGCAGGCUUUACAUUAAACUCAGCUACUGUAUCCCAGGUUCUCAGCCAACAGCAGGGCCUUGGCUGUUGAAACCCCCAAGGAA
Molecule: long non-coding RNA, 12698 nt
Organism: Pseudopipra pipra
Lineage: Eukaryota; Metazoa; Chordata; Aves; Passeriformes; Pipridae
Exons: 3
Source: RefSeq, a predicted model, not a curated record